ACCCCAAUUCAUUCGAUCCGAAGCUGUAUCCAAGACGUCACCUCAUCAAGUAUAAAAAAUAAAAAAUCGAAGUUUAGUUUUUUGACUGUGGUGACACCUAAAAAAAUACGAAAAUGCAAUAUUCUAAAUCUUUGGUGAUGAUCCUUGUUAUAUUGGCACUGAUUUAUGGUGCAAUGGCUACUUGCGACGGUUCUCCUUGUGACUUUUAUAAUAAUGAGGGAGAUCCGAGUGCAGGCACCUGUUGCACAAAUUAUAAAUGUGGAGGUAAUAAUAAGUGUUAUAAGCCAUAAAAAAAUGUUGUAAAUAUUCCUCGUAAUAAAUGAAUGUAUUGUUAAACUAAA
Long non-coding RNA from Belonocnema kinseyi, 341 nucleotides. RefSeq lists it as uncharacterized. The transcript has 2 exons. Lineage: Eukaryota; Metazoa; Arthropoda; Insecta; Hymenoptera; Cynipidae. The record is from RefSeq and is a predicted model, not a curated record.